UGGGGAAUAUUGCAAAAUGGGGGAAACCCUGAUGCAGCGACGCCGCGUGAGCGAUGAAGGCUUUCGAGUCGUAAAGCUCUGUCCUAUGGGAAGAUAAUGACGGUACCAUAGAAGAAAGAACCGGCUAAUUACGUGCCAGCAGCCGCGGUAAUACGUAAGGGGUGAGCGUUUUCCGGAAUUAUUGUGCGUAAAGAGUGCGUAGGCGGCGAAUUAUGUCAGAUGUGAAAACUAAGGGCUCAACCCAUAGAUUGCAUCUGAAACUGAUAUGUUUGAGUUAAGGAGAGGAAAGUGGAAUUCCUAGUGUGGCGAUGGAAUGCGUAGAUAUUAGGAGGAAUACCGGUGGGGAAGGCGACUUUCUGGACUUGAACUGACGCUGAGGCACGAAAGCGUGGGGAGCAAACAGG
Molecule: ribosomal RNA, 404 nt
Filed under: Verrucomicrobiota bacterium
Lineage: Bacteria; Pseudomonadati; Verrucomicrobiota
Description: Verrucomicrobia bacterium partial 16S ribosomal RNA
Rfam family: Bacterial small subunit ribosomal RNA
Source: RNAcentral